UACAGAGGUCUCAAGCGUUGUUCGGAUUCAUUGGGCGUAAAGGGUGCGUAGGUGGCGCCGUAAGUCGGGUGUGAAAUCUCGGAGCUUAACUCCGAAACUGCAUUCGAUACUGCCGUGCUUGAGGACUGGAGAGGAGACUGGAAUUUACGGUGUAGCGGUGAAAUGCGUAGAUAUCGUAAGGAAGACCAGCGGCGAAGGCGGGUCUCUGGACAGUUCCUGACGCUGAGGCGCGAAGGCCAGGGGAGCAAACGGG
Molecule: ribosomal RNA, 253 nt
Filed under: uncultured bacterium
Lineage: Bacteria
Description: partial 16S ribosomal RNA
Rfam family: Bacterial small subunit ribosomal RNA
Source: RNAcentral